RNAcentral lists this ribosomal RNA (253 nucleotides) under uncultured bacterium. RNAcentral describes it as "partial 16S ribosomal RNA". It matches the Rfam family "Bacterial small subunit ribosomal RNA", at positions 524 to 776 of the family's 1533-position model. The record is from RNAcentral.
UACGGAGGGGGCGAGCGUUGUCCGAAUUUACUGGGCGUAAAGCGCGCGUAGGCGGAAGCAUAAGUCUGCUGUGAAAGCCCGGGGCUCAACCCCGGAGGGUCGGUGGAUACUGUGCUUCUGGAAGAUGCUAGGGGGAGAUGGAAUUACCGGUGUAGCGGUGAAAUGCGUAGAUAUCGGUAGGAACACCAGUGGCGAAGGCGGUCUCCUGGGGCAUUCUUGACGCUGAGGUGCGAAAGCUGGGGGAGCGAACGGG